AGUGAACGCUGGCGGUAGGCCUAACACAUGCAAGCCGAACGGCAGCACAGUAAGAGCUUGCUCUUACGGGUGGCGAGUGGCGGACGGGUGGGGAAUACAUCGGAAUCUACUUUUUCGUGGGGGAUAACGUAGGGAAACUUACGCUAAUACCGCAUACGACCUACGGGUGAAAGCAGGGGAUCUUCGGACCUUGCGCGAUUGAAUGAGCCGAUGUCGGAUUAGCUAGUUGGCGGGGUAAAGGCCCACCAAGGCGACGAUCCGUAGCUGGUCUGAGAGGAUGAUCAGCCACACUGGAACUGAGACACGGUCCAGACUCCUACGGGAGGCAGCAGUGGGGAAUAUUGGACAAUGGGCGCAAGCCUGAUCCAGCCAUACCGCGUGGGUGAAGAAGGCCUUCGGGUUGUAAAGCCCUUUUGUUGGGAAAGAAAAGCAGCAGGUUAAUACCCCGCUGUUCUGACGGUACCCAAAGAAUAAGCACCGGCUAACUUCGUG
This 492-nucleotide ribosomal RNA is filed under the name uncultured bacterium. Its description in RNAcentral is "partial 16S ribosomal RNA". It matches the Rfam family "Bacterial small subunit ribosomal RNA", at positions 29 to 507 of the family's 1533-position model. The record is from RNAcentral.